CUACAUCUCAUCGGCUUGAUGUAAGAGCAUGGAACUGCUUUAGUUAUUAUUUUAGCAAAAUAACGAUAACCACGGUUGCAAUGGAGAGCAUCCAGAAUCUCCCAAUUGACAUCCAAACCAGUAACCUUUUGGACUGGUUGGUGGACUGGAGGCACUGCACGCUGAAAUGGCAAAGUGCAGUUAUGACAAUUAAAGAGAAAAUCAAUGCUGCCAUUCAGGAUAUGCCAUAGAAAGAGGAGAACAAACAAUUGCUCUCUGGCUCAUGCAAAUAAAUAAUAGUACAAACUUAUUUAUUUUUGUUUGACAGUUACUCAUACAUUGUUGCUUUUGCAGGUAUUCACUAUUGUCAUUGUUUAGGAAUAAUUGAAAUAUUAAAAAGGAACAGAAGCAUCCACCAAAAAUAUUUUUGACUUGGAGACGUUGGAGAAGCUUAAACAAACAGUCUUUAAUGAACUCACAAAUCCAGGAGAAACACAGAGCAGGUAGGAACACAAGGAUGACAUAAAACACCAGACGCCAAACACCGGGUUUAAGUAACUGGAGACAAACGAGAUAAUUAAUAAAAACCAGCUGGAACUAAUGGAACUAAUUAGGGACAGGAACAGGAAGAACCAAAUAUGGGCAUAAGGAAACAGGGAAAACCAGGAACACAUAGGGAGGAAAACAACAAAACGGGAACAAAAGUCUGACAUAUUCAUCACAAAGGAUGAAGAACUGGCAAGAGAUCGUGUUCCUGUAUGAAAAAGACCAUGUCUAUUUAGCUAUGUGGAGCGUGUUUCAGAAUUACUGCGGCAGAAACUCAAGUAGGCUGAUAUCUUGGUGUUGAAGCGUGGCACACUGGCUGAAAAAGGACAGGAGGCUCUGGAAGAACAGGCCAAGCUGGAGCCCCGCAUUGAUCUCCUGGCUGCUCACACCAAGGAGCUCCAGAAACUGAUUGAAGCUGACAUCUCAAAAAGAUACAACAACCGGCCUGUCAACCUCAUGGGAGUUCAUGUGUGACCAGGAAGAGUAUUUACAUACUGCACAGAUGUAUAAUUUCAUAAAUAUAUUUUUACCAUUUAAAUUGGGAGGGUAAUUGUUUUGUGGUGAUUCCUUUUUAUGGUGGAAUAAAAUUGUUGCAAUCACAGCGCUUUGAAUAUUCAAUGAAGGCUGUAAAUAACUUGCGCUUACACAGCUGGCCUCAUUAGUCUGAAGUGCUGAAUUCAGUAAAUGAACUGUCUUAAGAGGCCAACAUUUAAAUAUACAAU
Molecule: long non-coding RNA, 1247 nt
Organism: Sinocyclocheilus anshuiensis
Lineage: Eukaryota; Metazoa; Chordata; Actinopteri; Cypriniformes; Cyprinidae
Exons: 6
Source: RefSeq, a predicted model, not a curated record